CUCCUAUGGGACACAAACUACAUGAAGUGGAAUGAAGAAGCCCAUGUUUGAUGCUCGUCUCCAGGAUGGAGUAUUGAAUUUAUAACUAAUGAAGUGUCUUCUGGCACGUGACAAGCUGCUCCUGUUUGCACAGCGACUUCAACAUUGUGUACUGUGAUCACGGCCUAGUUCAGAGGUAGGUAACCUUUGUCAGUCCAGAUGCUGUGAAUUACAUCUCCCAUAAUGCUGGAAAAGCAUUAUGGAAGGUGUAGUCCAAAACAUCUGGAAUAUCGAAUGCGUAUGAAUGAAAAGUAUGGUGUGUGUGAAUGGUCAGUAACAAGGGUUGAAGCCUUGACGUGGCGUUACUGCUCACAUGUGUAUUCAUGUGCCAAUUCAACCAAUGUGAGUCACUGUAAUACUUAUAAGGUAACCAAAAGUACUGUGAUUGUGGAUAAUGAAACGCCUGUAUCACCUACACACUGUUUACACUGUGACCGUAUCUCCUACACACUGCUUACACUGUGACCGUAUCUCCUAAACACUGCUGACACUGUGACCGUAUCUCCUAAACACUGCUGACACUGUGACCGUAUCUCCUAAACACUGCUUACACUGUGACCGUAUCUCCUAAACACUGCUGACACUGUGACCGUAUCUCCUAAACUCUGCUCACACUGUGACCGUAUCUCCUAAACACUGCUGACACUGUGAGCGUAUCUCCUAUACACUGCUGACACUGUGACCAUAUCUCCUAAACUCUGCUCACACUGUGACCCUGUCGCCUAUACACUGCUUACACUCUGACCCUAUCACCUAAACACUGCUUACACUGUAAGCACAGACAUGUUUUUUAUUUAAAAUUGAAAGCGCUCGAUCAUUCUUUCUAUUCUACGCCUCCAAUCUUCAACAUUGAAAUUGUCAUUUCUAAUAAUAUAAAAUAAGUAUUAUGCUUUCUGGUUACGAUUUGGCGAGUUGUAACUAUAUUUUUUAUUUUUACAGUUCCAGAGGGAAGGAGCAAACCGCUUUGAGGAGUCCCUGCAUAAGAGACUAUUGGAUACUGAAGGGCUGUACUGCAGUGUCAGCUCUAGACUUGGCGAGGCCUUAGGCGAAACUCAUACAUGAGACCCCACG
Pelobates cultripes (western spadefoot toad) is the source of this 1110-nucleotide non-coding RNA. The record is from the annotation of a GenBank genome assembly. Lineage: Eukaryota; Metazoa; Chordata; Amphibia; Anura; Pelobatidae.